Molecule: ribosomal RNA, 551 nt
Filed under: uncultured Acaulosporaceae
Lineage: Eukaryota; Fungi; Glomeromycota; Glomeromycetes; Diversisporales; Acaulosporaceae
Description: SSU rRNA
Rfam family: Eukaryotic small subunit ribosomal RNA
Source: RNAcentral
UUGGAGGGCAAGUCUGGUGCCAGCAGCCGCGGUAAUUCCAGCUCCAAUAGCGUAUAUUAAAGUUGUUGCAGUUAAAAAGCUCGUAGUUGAAUUUCGGAAUCCAUCCAUCGGUCGGGCCUCACGGUCCGCACUGGUGUGAUGGAUUUCUACCUUCUGAAUAACCAGCAUGUCAUUAAUUUGGUGCGUUGGGGAAGCAGGACUGUUACCUUGAAAAAAUUAGAGUGCUUAAAGCAGGCUAGUGCCUGAAUACAUUAGCAUGGAAUAAUGAAAUAGGACGGCAUGGUUCUAUUUUGUUGGUUUCUAGGAUCACCGUAAUGAUUAAUAGGGAUAGUUGGGGGCAUUAGUACUCAAUUGUCAGAGGUGAAAUUCUUGGAUUUAUUGAAGACUAACUUCUGCGAAAGCAUUUGCCAAGGAUGUUUUCAUUAAUCAAGAACGAAAGUUAGGGGAUCGAAGACGAUCAGAUACCGUCGUAGUCUUAACCAUAAACUAUGCCGACUAGGGAUCGGACGAUGUUAAUUUUUUAAUGACUCGUUCGGCGCCUUACGGGAAAC